This 89-nucleotide microRNA precursor is filed under the name Canis lupus familiaris (dog). Its description in RNAcentral is "mir-8799 microRNA precursor family". It matches the Rfam family "mir-8799 microRNA precursor family". The record is from Rfam by way of RNAcentral. Lineage: Eukaryota; Metazoa; Chordata; Mammalia; Carnivora; Canidae.
GGGGGGAGGCCGGAUCCUGGGCUGUGUCCCGGCGCCCUGUACUCCGUGUCUGCGCUGUUGGAUUCGUGCUCCCAGCCAUGCAGCCCCCU